AAUCAAGAGAUCCAACCCGAGGCCCUGGCCGGUUGGACGGCAACCCCCUUCGCCAUAGUGGGGUGCCCCAGGUGACGAUUCGACGCCGUCCCGACCGGGAGGCGUAAGUAUGGCGC
Molecule: non-coding RNA, 116 nt
Filed under: Arthrobacter rhombi
Lineage: Bacteria; Bacillati; Actinomycetota; Actinomycetes; Micrococcales; Micrococcaceae
Description: SAM-IV sequence
Rfam family: SAM (S-adenosyl methionine) riboswitch aptamer
About the family: SAM-IV is a mRNA element that regulates gene expression via direct sensing of S-adenosylmethionine (SAM or AdoMet). SAM-IV riboswitches share conserved nucleotide positions with the previously described SAM-I riboswitches sequence analysis and molecular recognition experiments suggest that SAM-I and SAM-IV riboswitches share similar ligand binding sites, but have different scaffolds.
Source: Rfam by way of RNAcentral